This 448-nucleotide long non-coding RNA is filed under the name Rattus norvegicus (Norway rat). RNAcentral describes it as "long non-coding RNA NONRATT014475". The record is from RNAcentral. Lineage: Eukaryota; Metazoa; Chordata; Mammalia; Rodentia; Muridae.
AAUAGCAGCUCUCCUUGUAUUGGUCAAAAGUCAUCAAACUGAGCAGUUAUACCCAGCAUACUAUGGAAUGCUCAUUCCGUUAAAUAAGAGGAGAACACACAGCAAUCAAGAGCGUUAAAGAAAAAUCCAACGUGGCCAAGCGGGGAUUGGAACCCAGGUCUCUUGUGUAGAAUCUGGGGCUCAAGGGCACUCUGCCUGCUUGCCUCACAGAGUCCCUCUGUCAUCAGCCGCCACACUGACUACCUCUGCCUGCCAGCCCUGGGUCCUUUCCAAGAAAAGACAAAGCUGCAAACAAGCAGUAAUGACAUUGAUUAUUCCAAGCCAGAGGCAGGGGAUUUUGGAUCAUUUCCUUAAAAUGCUUGCUCAGCAACACUGAGGUCCUCACCCCAACCACCCUUAGUCCCAGGAAAUAAAUGUACAGUACGCCAUUGACGUGAAGCAGGGAAAA